CAGUAGCCGCGGGAAUACGUAGGGUGCAAGCGUUAAUCGGAAUUACUGGGCGUAAAGCGUGCGCAGGCGGUUCGCUAAGGCAGAUGUGAAAUCCCCGGGCUUAACCUGGGAACUGCAUUUGUGACUGGCGGGCUAGAGUAUGGCAGAGGGGGGUAGAAUUCCACGUGUAGCAGUGAAAUGCGUAGAGAUGUGGAGGAAUACCGAUGGCGAAGGCAGCCCCCUGGGCCAAUACUGACGCUCAUGCACGAAAGCGUGGGGAGCGAACAGGAUUAGAGACCCCCGUAGUCCCUGUCUCUUAUAC
Molecule: ribosomal RNA, 301 nt
Filed under: uncultured bacterium
Lineage: Bacteria
Description: partial 16S ribosomal RNA
Rfam family: Bacterial small subunit ribosomal RNA
Source: RNAcentral